UAGUCUGGUGCCAGCAGCCGCGGUAAUUCCAGCUCCAAUAGCGUAUAUUAAAGUUGUUGCAGUUAAAACGCUCGUAGUCGGAUUUCGGGGCAGGUUUGCCGGUCUGCCGAUGGGUAUGCACUGGUAGAACUGUCCUUCCUUCCGGAGACGGCGCCUACUCUUAACUGAGCGGGUGUCGGAGACGGAUCGUUUACUUUGAAAAAAUCAGAGUGUUUCAAGCAGGCAGCUCGCUUUUGCAUGGAUUAGCAUGGGAUAAUGAAAUAGGACUUUGGUGCUAUUUUGUUGGUUUCGAACACCGAAGUAAUGAUUAACAGGGACAGUCAGGGGCACUCGUAUUCCGCCGAGAGAGGUGAAAUUCUUAGACCAGCGGAAGACGAACCACUGCGAAAGCAUUUGCCAGGGAUGUUUUCACUGAUCAAGAACGAAAGUUAGGGGAUCGAAGACGAUCAGAUACCGUCGUAGUCUUAACCAUAAACCAUGCCGACUAGGGAUUGGAGGAUGUUCCUAUGUGACUCCUUCAGCACCUUUCGGGAAACUAAAGUCUUUGGGUUCCGGGGGGAGUAUGGUCGCAAGGCUGAAACUUAAAGGAAUUGACGGAAGGGCACCACCAGGAGUGGAGCCUGCGGCUUAAUUUGACUCAACACGGGGAAACUUACCAGGUCCAGACAUUGUGAGGAUUGACAGAUUGAGAGCUCUUUCUUGAUUCUAUGGGUGGUGGUGCAUGGCCGUUCUU
RNAcentral lists this ribosomal RNA (733 nucleotides) under uncultured eukaryote. RNAcentral's name for it is "SSU rRNA". It matches the Rfam family "Eukaryotic small subunit ribosomal RNA", at positions 557 to 1295 of the family's 1831-position model. The record is from RNAcentral.